Molecule: long non-coding RNA, 1419 nt
Organism: Calidris pugnax (ruff)
Lineage: Eukaryota; Metazoa; Chordata; Aves; Charadriiformes; Scolopacidae
Exons: 3
Source: RefSeq, a predicted model, not a curated record
ACGGCCCGGCCCGGCCCGGCGCUGCCUCGAGAUGGCGGCCGAGCCUGAGGGGCCGAGUGCGCCCCCCCUCCCCCCUCCGUCUUCCCUCAGGUACGGGAAGGAGGUUUUAGGGGGGGCUCAGCAUCGGAUAAUUCAGUCUGUGGUUACAGCAGGAUUGUUUUUGUUAAUUGGCUGAACUACUUGGGAGCGAAAGGUUCGCAUACAGUAAUCAAGCAAAAAUUAGAGGCUUUUCUGUGAAUUUAGUUGUCACCAAGAUACAGGCAGUUUUGUAGUGUUCAGAUUUCAGUCAUUUUCAUGUUACGUUUACUGUGAGACGUGUACAGCACUUUCCAAACCAGGAGCCGUUUCCUGUCAGUAACACCACGAGUGCUUCGCUCCAUCUUCACUGAAGCUGGGCCUGUCUUCCCACUUGCGCUCUUCUGACAGCCUCAUGCACUUGGAAGCAGUAAUAAGUGGUAAAUUUUUCAUCGUUAGGACAAGAAGCUUAUACUGAGUGGACAACAACUUCUCACAUGGCCACAUGUUGGGGUAAAUGCUGGAGGAGGCAGUGCCAGAGGUGGCUGUGCAAAGCGGAACCGCGGCAUCUCUCAAAACUGCUGGAAUUGAUUCCAGGUUUUCAGUUGUAAUGGCCUACAGCUCUACUGCAGGCUUCCUAGAGGAGAAACAAAUUUGUGCCAGCUUGCUGAAUAACCUCAGUAAUGUUCAGUCACUCAGAACUUCCCCAUCUGUGUGUCCACCCAUCCAAAGAACCAGAUGCUCUGAAGAACUUCAUAACCACCUUGCCUGAUGUAUCAGUAUCUGAAAUAUGUUGCUACCAAAACCACCAUUUCCAGCCCUACGAGCAACGGCAGCAACUGACCUACCUGGAGCCCUCGGUUGUUUAGGCCGUCAGAAAAUGAAAAGACUUAACUUGAAGCAUUAUAACAAAAACUAAUAGAAAGCAACCAUUUUACCAAGGAAGACAAGUUCAGAGAACAAGCAGAUUUCAUCAGAAUUAAAAGCUAAGGUUUCUAUGCAUAAUUAUUCAUCUACUAUUUCCAUUUAGACAGUCAAUUAUUUUAUUAUUGAAAUUAGAUAAUGAGAUAAUUACAUAAACUUCCUUUCUAAAUUUGUAUGUAUUCCAUUGACACAGGUUGCAGAAAUAUUUUUGCCAAGAACUUGAUGAUUAAAUGUGAACUUGCUUCAGCAGAAAUGAAGACAUGUCCUUGAUUCUUUGUUACAAAUUCGUGCAGCUCUUUUCAUUCAACACAAAGAUGAAUACAUAGGAUCUGAAUCAGCAACUAAUCAUUUUCCAAAAUAUUUGGCUAGUAACCUGAAAUUUCUUCUGAAAAUACCUUAGAAGAGAGUUUCCUCAUAUAAAAAAGAAAAAGUGUGUAUGAUGUAUAACGAUUUUUGUAAUAAACUUAAUUGUGUUUUACU